GACGAACGCUGGCGGCGUGCUUAACACAUGCAAGUCGAGCGGUAAGGCCCUUUCGGGGGUACACGAGCGGCGAACGGGUGAGUAGCACGUGGGUGACCUCGCCCUUAGCUCUGGGGAUAAGCCUGGGAGACUGGGUCUAAUACCGGAUAUGACCUCAUGAUGCAUGUUGUAGGGGUGGAAAGCCUUGUGCGGCUGGAGAUGGGCCCGCGGCCUAUCAGCUUGGUUGGUGGGGAUGGCCUACCAAGGCGACGACGGGUAGCCGGCCU
RNAcentral lists this ribosomal RNA (266 nucleotides) under uncultured bacterium. Its description in RNAcentral is "partial 16S ribosomal RNA". It matches the Rfam family "Bacterial small subunit ribosomal RNA", at positions 28 to 293 of the family's 1533-position model. The record is from RNAcentral.